This 496-nucleotide ribosomal RNA is filed under the name uncultured bacterium. RNAcentral describes it as "partial 16S ribosomal RNA". It matches the Rfam family "Bacterial small subunit ribosomal RNA", at positions 29 to 507 of the family's 1533-position model. The record is from RNAcentral.
AUGAACGCUGGCGGCGUGCCUAAUACAUGCAAGUCGAGCGAACAGACGAGGAGCUUGCUCCUCUGACGUUAGCGGCGGACGGGUGAGUAACACGUGGAUAACCUACCUAUAAGACUGGGAUAACUUCGGGAAACCGGAGCUAAUACCGGAUAAUAUAUUGAACCGCAUGGUUCAAUAGUGAAAGACGGUUUUGCUGUCACUUAUAGAUGGAUCCGCGCCGCAUUAGCUAGUUGGUAAGGUAACGGCUUACCAAGGCAACGAUGCGUAGCCGACCUGAGAGGGUGAUCGGCCACCCUGGAACUGAGACACGGUCCAGACUCCUACGGGAGGCAGCAGUAGGGAAUCUUCCGCAAUGGGCGAAAGCCUGACGGAGCAACGCCGCGUGAGUGAUGAAGGUCUUCGGAUCGUAAAACUCUGUUAUUAGGGAAGUACAAAUGUGUAAGUAACUAUGCACGUCUUGACGGUACCUAAUCAGAAAGCCACGGCUAACUACGUG